RNAcentral lists this long non-coding RNA (564 nucleotides) under Bos taurus (domestic cattle). RNAcentral's name for it is "long non-coding RNA NONBTAT022004". The record is from RNAcentral. Lineage: Eukaryota; Metazoa; Chordata; Mammalia; Artiodactyla; Bovidae.
CCAAAUGAAAUUAGUGAUCAAUAUCCCUAGUACCGUGUGCACUUUUUCUCUUCACGGCAACAUCUACAGUGACAAUUUCAUAUAUAUGCAUAUGUAUAUAUGUGUGUGUGUAGAUAUCAUAGCUCACUGAUUAGUUUCUCAUUUGUCAACCAAAUGGUAAAAUCUAUGAACUGUACUUUAUUCAAACAUUAUUAUAUGUUUGGUAGACUUAAUAGCAUUGCUAGAUAUAGAUUAUUAAAUGUACAGCAAAAAUUCUGAAUUCUGAGACACACCCUGGGAAAAGAUCCUGAGAAAGGAUCAUUUAUAGAAAUAGGACUCAACAUUUCCUAACUUUACAAUAUCUCCUAUAUUGGAAGAGGAUUUUAUGCCUUUGGAUUUGUAAUUAACUUCCUAUCUAGAAAUUCAUUUGGGACUGUUCAUACACUUCCUUAUAAAGAUGAUAAUUUUGAAAGUAUUUAAAGGAUCCCAUCAGGUUGUAAAUUCCUAGAAAAUAGGGAUUGUUUUUAUAGAUCAUUUCUGUCAAUGUUUUAGGUCAAUAUGUAACACACAAUACUUUAAACAAAA